RNAcentral lists this ribosomal RNA (465 nucleotides) under uncultured bacterium. RNAcentral describes it as "partial 16S ribosomal RNA". It matches the Rfam family "Bacterial small subunit ribosomal RNA", at positions 28 to 507 of the family's 1533-position model. The record is from RNAcentral.
GACGAACGCUGGCGGCGUGCUUAACACAUGCAAGUCGAACGGAAAGGCCCUGCUUGCAGGGUACUCGAGUGGCGAACGGGUGAGUAACACGUGGGUGAUCUGCCCUGCACUUCGGGAUAAGCCUGGGAAACUGGGUCUAAUACCGGAUAGGAGCCAUUUUUAGUGUGAUGGUUGGAAAGUUUUUUCGGUGUUGGAUGAGCUCGCGGCCUAUCAGCUUGUUGGUGGGGUAAUGGCCUACCAAGGCGGCGACGGGUAGCCGGCCUGAGAGGGUGGACGGCCACACUGGGACUGAGGUGCGGCCCAGACUCCGACGGGAGGCAGCAGUGGGGAAUAUUGCACAAGGGGCGCAAGCCUGAUGAAGCGACGCCGCGGGGGGGAUGACGGCCUUCGGGUUGUAAACUCCUUUCGCUAGGGACGAAGCUUUUUGUGACGGUACCUAGAGAAGAAGCAACGGCUAACUACGUG